RNAcentral lists this long non-coding RNA (153 nucleotides) under Numida meleagris (helmeted guineafowl). RNAcentral describes it as "lncRNA (ENSNMEG00000015692.1)". The record is from RNAcentral. Lineage: Eukaryota; Metazoa; Chordata; Aves; Galliformes; Numididae.
AAGGUUUUUCUUGUCAUCUUCCAGUGCUGCUGUCGCUGCUGGUUUUCACAUGCUUCCAUUACUGUGUAGUCCUGCUGGUUGCUCUGCUACGUUCUGCUGAGGUCCUGGCUAGGGAUGGCUGUACCUCGAAUUUGAUUUACUGGGAGGCCUGCA